Molecule: long non-coding RNA, 423 nt
Organism: Solanum lycopersicum (tomato)
Lineage: Eukaryota; Viridiplantae; Streptophyta; Magnoliopsida; Solanales; Solanaceae
Source: RefSeq, a predicted model, not a curated record
CGAAUCUUCACAGCCGGCUCAAAAAGAGAUCUCAUCCUUCCAGUUUUACAUAUUUGUGGGUCCUAGCAUGAUAUUCCUCUGCACUAUAAGUUAUUGAAACACUUAAACACCUUACAAUAGGUGAAUCCAUGCUUUGCCAUACAAUUAAUUCCUUUCCCUUUUUCUUAAGACAAGUACAAGAUUCUCUUUUUGAGUCAAGGGUCUAGCGGAAACAACCUCUCUACCUCAAAAAGGCGGUAAGGUAAAAAUACGAGGUGGUCAUUUCUUUUUCAUUUGUUUAAAUCUUGGUGGACAGAGUUACUCGAUACAUGUACUAAUGAGAGAUAGUAGAUUUAUCAUAAAAUUAGUUGAGAUGCAUAUUACAAUUUAUUAUUUUUUUCAAAAAAUACGACAUUGAAAUUAAAAACACUUGAGGCACGUCAA